CAAGAUCAUGCCACCAUACUACAGACUGUGUGACAGAGCGAGACUCCGUCUCAAAACAACAACAAAAAAACAAACUCACCAUUGUACCUGUGCUUAUGCAAGGUUUAGCAGGAAUGUAAAUUGGUUUAACCUUUGUGGACAGAAGUUUUAAAAAUAUAUAUUAAAAUUAAAAGUAUGCUCUGAAGGAGGAACUCCACUCCUAGUAAUUUAUCUCAAGAGAAUAACUGGGCCAGCACAAAGGCUGCUGUUUAACAAUGUGUAAUGAUGCAGUGACAGCUGCAAUUGCAAAAAUAACCUAGACAUUCACCAAUGAGGACUGGUUAAAUGAACUAGUAUAACCAUACUGCAGAAUAUCAUAAAGAUAACAAAACUGAUAUGGAUCUGUUUCUUGGCAUAAAUAUAUCCAUAAGUUUUAAGAAGAGAUGCUAUAUAUACAGUGGUCCCAUUAAUGUAUAACUGUUAGGACUAAAAAUAGUACCUUCCUCAUAAUGAUGUUUUGAGGAAUUAAUGAGUUUAUUCAUGCAAAAUGCUUAGAAUGGUACCUGGCACACAGUCAAUGUUUAAGAAAUGUUUGUUAUUGUUAUUACUAUGUCUCUGUAUAUAUGCAUAGGAAAAAUCUGGAAGGAUAAAAUAAAAAAUGAUGAAUAUUUUUGGGUGGUGAGACUAAAUUUUUGUCUAAUCUUAUGGAUAAGUUUUAUGAUUUAUAUUUAUAAUAAAAAUAAAGCUAUAAAAAAUUAA
This 738-nucleotide non-coding RNA is filed under the name Pan troglodytes (chimpanzee). The record is from RNAcentral. Lineage: Eukaryota; Metazoa; Chordata; Mammalia; Primates; Hominidae.